AAGGAUCAUUAACAAAUUCCACACUCGUCUUUGGGGAGGCGUUGCUGAAGGCAACGUGCAUGGCCCUGUGGCUACGCUGUUGACAAAGCUGCCUCCUCAUAUACAUAGACAACAUUCACUUUUAUACUUGACACAUGAUGGAGAACCAAAUUGGUUAAAUUAAAAACAACUUUUAACAAUGGAUCUCUCGGCUCUU
Molecule: unclassified non-coding RNA, 196 nt
Filed under: uncultured fungus
Lineage: Eukaryota; Fungi
Description: partial contains 18S rRNA, ITS1, 5.8S rRNA, ITS2 and 28S rRNA
Source: RNAcentral